GCCGGGGAAAAGUUGCGCGUGGUAGUGCAGAGGAACGUCGGCGGGUGAAUUCAGAUAGAGCCCUUGGAAAGAUGAUUCCCAAAAGUAUUAUUUUCGGAUAUAAAGACUACGCUGUAUCAACAAAAAACGGAUUGCAACUUGCAAAACAUGCGGGAAGAAAAUUACAGACGGAUGCGCAACAACUUCCAACUUUGUUCGAUAUUUGAAGCUGCACAAAGAACAGACAAUGACCCAACACACCUCCAGGCUGUGUAAGGGCUAUUUGACCAAGAAGGAGAGUAACGGAGUGCUGCACCAGAUGGCCUGGCCUCCAUAAUCACCCGAUCUCAACCCAUUUGAGAUGGUUUGGGAUGAACUGGACCGCAGAGUGAAGGAAAAGCAGCCAUCAAGUGAUCAGCAUAUGUGGGAUCGCCUUCAAGACUGUUGGAAAAGCAUUCCAGGUGAAGCUGGUUGAGAG
Molecule: long non-coding RNA, 457 nt
Filed under: Salmo salar (Atlantic salmon)
Lineage: Eukaryota; Metazoa; Chordata; Actinopteri; Salmoniformes; Salmonidae
Description: lncRNA (ENSSSAG00000120286.1)
Source: RNAcentral